AUGCACGCUGGCGGCGUGCCUAAUACAUGCCAGUCGAGCGAACAGACGAGGAGCUUGCUCCUCUGACGUUAGCGGCGGACGGGUGAGUAACACGUGGAUAACCUACCUAUAAGACUGGGAUAACUUCGGGAAACCGGAGCUAAUACCGGAUAAUAUAUUGAACCGCAUGGUUCAAUAGUGAAAGACGGUUUUGCUGUCACUUAUAGAUGGAUCCGCGCCGCAUUAGCUAGUUGGUAAGGUAACGGCUUACCAAGGCGACGAUGCGUAGCCGACCUGAGAGGGUGAUCGGCCACACUGGAACUGAGACACGGUCCAGACUCCUACGGGAGGCAGCAGUAGGGAAUCUUCCGCAAUGGGCGAAAGCCUGACGGAGCAACGCCGCGUGAGUGAUGAAGGUCUUCGGAUCGUAAAACUCUGUUAUUAGGGAAGAACAAAUGUGUAAGUAACUAUGCACGUCUUGACGGUACCUAAUCAGAAAGCCACGGCUAACUACGUG
This 496-nucleotide ribosomal RNA is filed under the name uncultured bacterium. Its description in RNAcentral is "partial 16S ribosomal RNA". It matches the Rfam family "Bacterial small subunit ribosomal RNA", at positions 29 to 507 of the family's 1533-position model. The record is from RNAcentral.